UCCCUGGUGGCUCAGAAGGUAAAGCGUCUGCCUGCAAUGCGGGAGACCUGGGUUUGAUUCCUGGGUUGGGAA
Molecule: transfer RNA, 72 nt
Filed under: Bos taurus (domestic cattle)
Lineage: Eukaryota; Metazoa; Chordata; Mammalia; Artiodactyla; Bovidae
Also listed under: 2 other names
Rfam family: tRNA
About the family: Transfer RNA (tRNA) molecules are approximately 80 nucleotides in length. Their secondary structure includes four short double-helical elements and three loops (D, anti-codon, and T loops).
Source: Rfam by way of RNAcentral